CCACCUCAGGACAUAAGGUGGGAAGAGGAAAACCCCUUCUUCCUCCCCUUUCACUUCCCUUGCUUGUUCUUUCUUUUCCUCAUCAAGCUCAUCUCAUUUCUCCUCCCCAAAUCCCAUCCAAUAGCUCAAGAUCAAUCCCUGCAUGUUAGACCACAACAAUCCCCAUCAUCCAAGCUUUCCAUCCAUCCCAACAUAAUGUGCAAGGAGAGUUGAGAGAGAUCGAGAAGGAAUAAAAGAGUGGUGGUUUCAGCCUGCAGGGCAGCAGCAGCAUUUUGUUUUCCUCCAUUUGAUCUAGUCGUUCUCGGGUCGUCAUCGUGUUUGUUGUGUUGCCGGGCAUCUCCAACGCCAUCGCUGCUUCCUGGACCUCUCCGACCCCUUUCAGCUGCACGAUUCGGAGAUUCCGGAGAGUAACGAGCCAUAUCCCAAGGAGGAUAGUUACUACCCUCAGCAGCAAGGCAAGCACCUUAGCAUAUAGAACCUAUGCUUUCUCUAAAAAGGAUUUGGUUGCAAUCUAUACGUAUAUAUAUGCAUGCAUUGCCUAGAUAUUAAUAUUGUCGGUUUAUGGUGUAUGGGUAGAACCUAUUUAUGCAUUUAGUUCUUGUGAUAUUGUUGUCCUUAUACCCUAUUACCACUAGUUGGGAUUACUUGGGACGUCUUAUUCAUUAAUGCUUAGCCAUGCUUAGUGUUAAUAGAACUAUAGGGAUGGACAGUGCUAUUAAUUGUGGUAUAUAGACAACUUGCAUUAUUGGGCAUAAAACUUGAGCACUUACACUAAAUAAUGGUUGAUAAAAUAUGUUGGACUUGGACGGGUGAUAGGACGAUGAUGGGAGGUUGGUUUCCCCUGAUGCAAGUAGCCUCGUCUAGGUCGUUAAGGACCGAACAUUUUGACAUCUAAUCAAGCAUCUUACGUACUUACCACAUGUCUUAUUUGGGACCGGCUUGUUCUUACUAGUUCUACUGUGAUCAUUUAUACCACGUUGGAGAGUCGUGAGGCAGGUAGCCUUUGGAGGGCCUCGGGUGCCUAGGUUUGGCCGGGGGUGCCUCCCGCGUGGCGCGCCCGCCUUGGUCACAUCAUGCACGCACGUGACUGAGUCGUCGGGAACCCCGACGUGGUAUAGAUGGUUGGGGUGGGAUUAGGAAAGGCAUGUAAUGAGCUUGUAUCACUCGUGUACCGCACUCGUCGGGGUGUGUAGCUUUUGAUCCUUGUUCAUUUCGUGUGGGUCCAGUUGUACACCUCUGAUCAGAGUAUAAUCUAUUCGAAUAGUCGUGUCCUCGGUUAUGGACAAUGCUUGAUGUGUUAGUCAGUUAUGUUAGCAUCAAAUGUGGAUUAUUAUGGAUGGGAUUAUGUUUGAUGGUGGUGUUGGCAUAUUGUGCCAUGUUGGUAUGGACUUUGGUGGUCCAUGGUUGAUGAUGAGAGUGCCGUUUGGGCUCAUUUGCUUAUACAUUUCAGAAUUAUAUACUUACUGUCCAUAAAUUAAAAUGAUGCUAGAUUUACUUGUCCUUGCUUAUUUUACUCAUUAAUUGCUUACAAAAAUUAGCUUUAUGCAAAUGUUGAACCUAGAGACCCACUAUAGGCUAGAAAGCUUGCAUACUUCUCUCUCCCUUAUGUAUAUACAAUUUUGGGUAAGACUUGCGAGUACAAUCUUGUACUUAACCCGGUGUCUGCAA
Molecule: long non-coding RNA, 1668 nt
Organism: Oryza sativa Japonica Group (Japanese rice)
Lineage: Eukaryota; Viridiplantae; Streptophyta; Magnoliopsida; Poales; Poaceae
Source: RefSeq, a predicted model, not a curated record